RNAcentral lists this non-coding RNA (73 nucleotides) under Pseudooceanicola batsensis HTCC2597. RNAcentral's name for it is "Oceanicola batsensis HTCC2597 Singlet oxygen resistance RNA X". It matches the Rfam family "Singlet oxygen resistance RNA X". From Rfam's summary of the family: SorX (RSs2461)like SorY is a singlet oxygen induced sRNA that counteracts oxidative stress by targeting mRNA for a transporter in Rhodobacter. It also has an impact on resistance against organic hydroperoxides. Lineage: Bacteria; Pseudomonadati; Pseudomonadota; Alphaproteobacteria; Rhodobacterales; Paracoccaceae. The record is from Rfam by way of RNAcentral.
ACACCGCGCAUAUCCGGGUUUGAUAUGUACCUCCCUGUUGGACUUGCCCGGGCCCUAGUGCCCGGGUCUCUUU